Molecule: ribosomal RNA, 418 nt
Filed under: uncultured bacterium
Lineage: Bacteria
Description: bacterial SSU rRNA
Rfam family: Bacterial small subunit ribosomal RNA
Source: RNAcentral
GAAUAUUGGUCAAUGGACGAGAGUCUGAACCAGCCAAGUAGCGUGAAGGAUGACUGCCCUAUGGGUUGUAAACUUCUUUUAUAUGGGAAUAAAAUGAGUUACGUGUAGCUUUUUGUAUGUACCAUAUGAAUAAGGAUCGGCUAACUCCGUGCCAGCAGCCGCGGUAAUACGGAGGAUGCGAGCGUUAUCCGGAUUUAUUGGGUUUAAAGGGUGCGUAGGCGGGCUGUUAAGUCAGCGGUCAAAUGUCGGGGCUCAACCCCGGCCUGCCGUUGAAACUGGCGGCCUCGAGUGGGCGAGAAGUAUGCGGAAUGCGUGGUGUAGCGGUGAAAUGCAUAGAUAUCACGCAGAACCCCGAUUGCGAAGGCAGCGUACCGGCGCCCUACUGACGCUGAAGCACGAAAGCGUGGGUAUCGAACAG